Molecule: ribosomal RNA, 774 nt
Filed under: uncultured Neocallimastigales
Lineage: Eukaryota; Fungi; Neocallimastigomycota; Neocallimastigomycetes; Neocallimastigales
Description: partial large subunit ribosomal RNA
Rfam family: Eukaryotic large subunit ribosomal RNA
Source: RNAcentral
UAUGUGAUCGUCUCUUGCAUAUCAAUAAGCGGAGGAAAAGAAACUAACAAGGAUUCCCCUAGUAACGGCGAGUGAAGCGGGAAGAGCUCAAAUUUGAAAUCUUAAAGGGUUUCCCUUUACGAAUUGUAGUUUAAAGAAGUGUUUUCUGUUGAGGUUUUGGUAAAAGUUCUUUGGAAUAGGACAUCAUAGAGGGUGAGAAUCCCGUAUUUGACCUUUACUUUCAACUUUGUGAUACACUUUCAAAGAGUCGGAUUGUUUGGGAAUGCAGUCCAAAAUGGGUGGUAAAUUUCAUCUAAAGCUAAAUAUUGGCGAGAGACCGAUAGCGAACAAGUACCGUGAGGGAAAGAUGAAAAGAACUUUGAAAAGAGAGUUAAACAGUACGUGAAAUUGUCAAAAGGGAAGCGUUUGACACCAGUGUUGUUUUUCUGAAAAUCAAUUAAAGAACUGUUUAUGCUAAGUUGUUUAGACUUUAUCAGCUAACUGUUUAGUUUUGAGCUUUUCUUUAAUGCACUUUUCAGUUAACAAGUCAACAUCAAUUUCUUUUGCUGUAAAAAAGCUUGAGGAAGGUGGCUUGAGAUUCGUCUUAAGUGUUUAUAGCCUCUUGCCUAUGCAGUCGGAGAGAUUGAGGUCUGCAGCGUAGAUCCUUCGGGGCUAAAUGCAUUUGUGCUAAGUUAUAGCAUUUUAUAGACAACUUGUUGACUAUGAUUUGUCUUGUAGCUUACUCGCUUAUGUUAUUUUACCUACGCUUAGGAUGUUGAGUAGCGACAUACGCAC